AGGAUGAACGCUGGCGGCGUGCUUAACACAUGCAAGUCGAACGGUGAAGUGAGGAGCUUGCUCCUUGCGGAUCAGUGGCGAACGGGUGAGUAACACGUGAGUAACCUGCCCUUGACUCUGGGAUAAGCGUUGGAAACGACGUCUAAUACCGGAUACGACCUCCGAAGGCAUCUUCUGGAGGUGGAAAGAAUUUCGGCUAGGGAUGAACUCGCGGCCUAUCAGCUUGUGGUGAGGUAACGGCUCACCAAGGCGACGACGGGUAGCCGGCCCUGAGAGGGCGACCGGCCACACUGGGACUGAGACACGGCCCAGACUCCUACGGGAGGCAGCAGUGGGGAAUAUUGCGCAAUGGGCGAAAGCCUGACGCAGCGACGCCGCGUGGGGGAUGAAGGCCUUCGGGUUGUAACCCCUUUCAGCAGGGACGAAGCGAAAGUGACGGUACCUGCAGAAGAAGCGCCGGCUAACUACGUGCCAGCAGCCGCGGU
RNAcentral lists this ribosomal RNA (485 nucleotides) under uncultured bacterium. RNAcentral describes it as "SSU rRNA". It matches the Rfam family "Bacterial small subunit ribosomal RNA", at positions 26 to 521 of the family's 1533-position model. The record is from RNAcentral.